GGUUGAUCGAGCUCUAGAGGUUUAUCGUAUGAUUGAUAAAUGUGAUAUCAAAGGAACACCAGAGGUUUACACAAUUGCUGUAAAUUGUUGCAGUCAAAAUGGUAAUUGGGAAUUUGCACGCAGCAUUUAUGAUGACAUGUCCAAAAAAGGUGUUAAUCCAGAUGAGAUGUUUAUCAGUGCGCUGAUAGAUGUGGCAGGGCACACAGGUAAGUUGGAAGCUGCAUUUGAAGUUCUAGAAGAAGCAAGGGCUAAAGGCAUAAAUUUGGGAUCGAUAUCAUAUAGCUCAUUGAUGGGAGCCUGCUGUAAUGUAUGAACACUGAUCCUUUUUGUGUUUCCUCAUAUAGAC
Molecule: unclassified non-coding RNA, 346 nt
Filed under: Hevea brasiliensis (rubber tree)
Lineage: Eukaryota; Viridiplantae; Streptophyta; Magnoliopsida; Malpighiales; Euphorbiaceae
Source: RNAcentral